UGUGGCAGGAUAAGUCUUUUAUUGGCUGGUUGAUGUACAGUUGGUUCACCAAUCAAAUGAUAGCGACAGCACUAGCAUCUCAUUGGUUGGUGGGGUUAAAGUUCAUAUACCAAUGAAACGAUAGUAUCUAUACUAUUUAAGGACCUUUAUUAUGACAGGUGGAUAUGUUUGUGACCUGGGGUGCUUCUCUCUCUCCCUGGCAUUUCCGUUUCCGUUCUGAUUCCUUCCUCAGGUAUGUUUGGCUGUUUGUUGGCGGUGUAACAAUGUGCAUGUUGCGAGUCUAAUAUGCGCUAUUUAUAGUUUCAUUUAGAGCACGUCUGGUGGCGUUGGCAGUGCGGCAACUCGCAGCGUAUUUCGGCUGCAGGUAUGUUUAGGUGCUCCGUUUGUUUACCGUCUCAUCUGUAAUUUUUAUUGUGUGUUGCUCUCAGUAAUUGCAGCGAGAGCAGUGAAUGCUGGCUGGUAGACUGAGCUAUGACACCGGUUGUGAGUAACCAUAUAGCGUUGCAUCUAAUGUUUAUUCAAUAACAAUCGUAAGUAUGCCACUUAUUUCUUCAUAUUGGUGGUUAUCUUGUUUUAAUCGUUAUAAUAAUUUGUUUUUUUUAUUCUUUAGUUAAGGGGAAAUUAAAACAUCUUAGUCCUCAUCCUGGCGAAUGAUUUCAGGCAACGCAGCUGCUGUUUUGCUUAGGGACGCAUUUUGGAGUCCGAUCUGCACUUUACGGGCCAGUGAGGAUCGGGUGGAACUGGGGAGGCUAGCUGCUGUCAUUUUGCAGUGUCACAGUGUGCGGUGUGUGUGGAUACAACUUCCCAUUGGUGUGUGUGAUGGUUGCUUUGGUGUGAAUUUAGGUGGGUUUUUGGAUAACCGUUCUGAGUUGCAGCCGGCCUGCCUGGUUCCCACUAAUCCUGGCCCUGGGAAUUACCUCCCUUAUUGUGGAAAUGGUUUGUGUGAGAGAGUUUUAAAUCUAUGCAUGUGUUUUAUAAUAAAAUCCAAUCUUUUGUAUUCUCGCCCCCGUCUCCCCUACUUUGCCUUCAUUUGGUGAAACUUACCUGUGUCCUUUAAUGGGAAUAAAUUCUCUGGUUUCCCACCAGGGUGGCGUAGUCGGAUAAAUUCACUGAUUAACCUUUCCUUUCAUGUGAUACCGCCACAUUU
Cyprinus carpio (common carp) is the source of this 1147-nucleotide long non-coding RNA. RefSeq lists it as uncharacterized. The record is from RefSeq and is a predicted model, not a curated record. The transcript is spliced from 2 exons. Lineage: Eukaryota; Metazoa; Chordata; Actinopteri; Cypriniformes; Cyprinidae.